This 253-nucleotide ribosomal RNA is filed under the name uncultured bacterium. RNAcentral describes it as "partial 16S ribosomal RNA". It matches the Rfam family "Bacterial small subunit ribosomal RNA", at positions 524 to 776 of the family's 1533-position model. The record is from RNAcentral.
UACGGAGGGUGCAAGCGUUAUCCGGAUUCACUGGGUUUAAAGGGUGCGUAGGCGGGCAGGUAAGUCAGUGGUGAAAUCCCCGAGCUUAACUUGGGAACUGCCGUUGAUACUAUCUGUCUUGAAUACUGUGGAGGUAAGCGGAAUAUGUCAUGUAGCGGUGAAAUGCUUAGAUAUGACAUAGAACACCUAUUGCGAAGGCAGCUUGCUACACAGUCAUUGACGCUGAGGCACGAAAGCGUGGGGAUCAAACAGG